UUUAGGGUUAGUUUUUUUUUUGAUAAUAAUUUACUCCAAUAGCAGUAAGGCUUCCUAUGGUAGUUUGGGGUAUCCCUAGUCAGGCUCCGUCAUGAAUUCAAGACAUAUGUUCCGUUCCUAAAAUGAAAAAAAAGAAUAAUUAGUUUAUGUUCACACACUCACCUUCAAUUGGAAGACAAAUAUCCUGAUAAUCUUCAAUCCAAAUCUGGAAGUGAAGUUUCCUUGUCUUCAAAACUGGGUCAAUUAGGAUGGAGGUAUGGUUUCGUCAUCGUCUUUUAUAUUCCCGUCAUUCUUCCAGUAGAAAUCUAGAAAAGAAAAAAAAAACACAUAAGUUAAUGAGAUUCAUUAUAAUUCGUCAUUAAACCUCACGAUUUCAUGCUGAACCACAACCAAAAUCAGUAAAAAUAUGCAAAUUUACCUGCAUAUUCAGUCCGCACAAAUAAUCCAUUCGCACCGCACAGCUGUUUACAUUUGUUUUGACGUUUCUCCGUGCAGUAUGGGUGAAUCAUUGUGUUAGUGAAAUGGUGUGGUACCGAUUGUUGUAGUAGGGAUGUUCAGGUUUUGGAAUUUCGAUAUGUGCCAUUUUGAUCGAACUUAUGUUCGAUGUCAGAUACAUAAAGAAAUUCGUGUUGGGUGUUUGUGGGUGUUGAUUUAUGUUAUGUUUUGCUAGAUAUGAUUCUGGCGUAUGACGUUAUCGACCCUACAGUUUUCGUAUUGAAGUUUGGUACGUUUUAAAUAAAUUUUCUGUUGGCCGAUGGUAUCGGCGUGUGAAGAUGAUAUUCAUGUAGACUUUUUGUUGAUGUUUAUGUUUUCUCAUGAGAUACACGUUUCCCAAAGUUAAGUAAUGGGGGUCUCCAUGAGAAAAUAGUUCGGUGAAUUAUGAUGUCGGUCGCUAUCCAAUGCUAUUAUUGGAGGAUAACCGAGUCAUAAUGAACCUGUUUGGGGAGAAGACAUGAGAUAAAAUUGAGAAAUUUUAUUCUUAUUGUCGAAUUUGUAUUGUUAGAGUCUUUCGAGUUAUUCAUGUUAUGAUUCACCUACGAUGCAAGGGGGAAUGUCAAACACUCAAAUAUGGUAACAUACAUGUUUAAGAUAGGAGAUGUUUUUUUUUGUAAUAUGUAUGUCAAUAUAUUGUAAAUAGUACACAACAUUAUUUAAUCAUUCAUUAUUAUUUAGAAUUAUACAUAAAAAAGAAACGUUCGCUGCUAUCAUUGUUAGGUUUGUCAGGAAUGUUUUCUUAUUAAGGUAAGGAGUGCCCUUACGAAAAUUUGGUUGACAUUUUCAACCAAAUUUUCGUAAAAAGAGCAUGGUGUUAUGUAGCGGUCAGUACUAUAAAUCACUUUUAGGGCAAAACAUACUCUAAUAUGUAUUUGCCCUAAGGUAGACAACGACGCAAAUGGGCUGAGCUGAUCAUUAUACAGCGUAAAGCGUACUAGUUUUAGUUCGGGAGAGAGUCCGGGAAAGAUUUCCGCGAGACAAGGUUCAGGGAUGCUGCUUUGUAUGGAAGGGGAGAGGGAAGGCUGGAAGAUGGUUUUUCGAAACCAGAAUGAUUCGGCCAAUGACAAUCCUCAGAUUUCCGAGGACAGCCGACGAGAUUUGGGAAAUGACGUACUUCCUGUAAGUACGUUUGACUCCACUUUCCCUGAUCUGAGGAUUACUAAGUUUGCUCACUUUGUUCGUGACUGCAGAAAAUAGUGGAAGUGCGCGUGCUCGUUUCACUAAUUCUAAAGGUCAUAGUAAAACUGUAAAGUAGUAAACCAAAGGUAGCGUGUUGUGCGUGUGUGUGUUCGAGUUACAGUUACCCGUUCUCCCGCAGGCAAUUCGGAAAAGCCGCUUUAUAUGCCGCUCAAAGAGCUCGUAUUCAACAUCCGCAGCACGAACAGCAAAAUCACCCGUAGAGCCGGUCAUCAGCAGCAGCCAACAAAUUUGAACCAAUAGUUGGU
Molecule: long non-coding RNA, 1940 nt
Organism: Toxorhynchites rutilus septentrionalis
Lineage: Eukaryota; Metazoa; Arthropoda; Insecta; Diptera; Culicidae
Exons: 3
Source: RefSeq, a predicted model, not a curated record